RNAcentral lists this ribosomal RNA (472 nucleotides) under uncultured bacterium. Its description in RNAcentral is "partial 16S ribosomal RNA". It matches the Rfam family "Bacterial small subunit ribosomal RNA", at positions 338 to 807 of the family's 1533-position model. The record is from RNAcentral.
CCUACGGGAGGCAGCAGUGAGGAAUAUUGGUCAAUGGGCGGGAGCCUGAACCAGCCAAGUAGCGUGAAGGAUGACUGCCCUACGGGUUGUAAACUUCUUUUAUAAAGGAAUAAAGUGAGGCACGUGUGCCUUUUUUUAUGUACUUUAUGAAUAAGGAUCGGCUAACUCCGUUCCAGCAGCCGCGGUAAUACGGAGGAGCCGAGCGUUAUCCGGAUUUAUUGGGUUUAAAGGGAGCGUAGAUGGGUUGUUAAGUGAGUUGUGAAAGUUUGCGGCUCAACCGUAACAUUGCAAUUGAUACUGGCAGGCUUGAGGACAGUUGAGGUAGGCGGAAUUCGUGGUGUAGCGGUGAAAUGCUUAGAUAUCACGAAGAACUCCGAUUGCGAAGGCAGACUACUAAACUGCCACUGACAUUGAUGCUCGAAAGUGUGGGUAUCAAACAGGAUUAGAUACCCCAUUAGAUACCCUGGUAGUC